RNAcentral lists this ribosomal RNA (253 nucleotides) under uncultured bacterium. RNAcentral's name for it is "partial 16S ribosomal RNA". It matches the Rfam family "Bacterial small subunit ribosomal RNA", at positions 524 to 776 of the family's 1533-position model. The record is from RNAcentral.
UACGUAGGGUGCGAGCGUUGUUCGGAAUUACUGGGCGUAAAGCGUGCGUAGGCGGUGCCUCAAGUUUGGUGUGAAAUCUCCCGGCUCAACCGGGAGGGUGCGCCGAAAACUGAGGUGCUCGAGUGUGGGAGAGGUAAGCGGAAUUCCUGGUGUAGCGGUGAAAUGCGUAGAUAUCAGGAGGAACACCGGCGGUGUAGACGGCUUACUGGACCAUAACUGACGCUGAGGCACGAAAGUGUGGGGAGCAAACAGG